RNAcentral lists this ribosomal RNA (253 nucleotides) under uncultured bacterium. RNAcentral's name for it is "partial 16S ribosomal RNA". It matches the Rfam family "Bacterial small subunit ribosomal RNA", at positions 524 to 776 of the family's 1533-position model. The record is from RNAcentral.
UACGGGGGGGGCAAGCGUUGUUCGGAAUUACUGGGCGUAAAGGGCUCGUAGGUGGCCAACUAAGUCAGACGUGAAAUCCCUCGGCUUAACCGGGGAACUGCGUCUGAUACUGGAUGGCUUGAGUUCGGGAGAGGGAUGCGGAAUUCCAGGUGUAGCGGUGAAAUGCGUAGAUAUCGGGAGGAACACCAGUGGCGAAGGCGGGCAUCUGGGCCAACACUGACGCUGAGGCGCGAAAGCUAGGGGAGCAAACAGG